RNAcentral lists this transfer RNA (56 nucleotides) under Oesophagostomum asperum. RNAcentral describes it as "tRNA-Phe". The record is from RNAcentral. Lineage: Eukaryota; Metazoa; Nematoda; Chromadorea; Rhabditida; Strongylidae.
AUUCUAUUAGUUUAAUUUAAAAUAUAACUUUGAAGCAGUUAAGAUUAAUAAGAAUA